Molecule: long non-coding RNA, 213 nt
Filed under: Lathyrus oleraceus (garden pea)
Lineage: Eukaryota; Viridiplantae; Streptophyta; Magnoliopsida; Fabales; Fabaceae
Description: Pisum sativum (pea) long non-coding RNA (PSAT_LNC002557)
Source: RNAcentral
GUCCAUGUAACAUGCCUUCUUGUUAUGAAUGCAAAUGCAAAUGAGGUGAUGAAUGUAUGUCUAUAAAUUAGGGCCAUGAAGGUCGCGUAGAAGGUAGGGUGAAUUUGGGGUCUGACAACUACUAAUAAAUGCAGGGUGCUUAUGUCCUUGACUUAAAAAAAUAUAUUUCAAAUGCUCUGGGAGUUCUUUUAGUUCAAGAUCUGUUGGUUUUUC